RNAcentral lists this unclassified non-coding RNA (336 nucleotides) under soil metagenome. RNAcentral describes it as "partial contains 5.8S ribosomal RNA, internal transcribed spacer 2, and large subunit ribosomal RNA". The stretch from base 1 to 120 matches the Rfam family "5.8S ribosomal RNA", at positions 35 to 154 of the family's 154-position model. The record is from RNAcentral.
GAUGAAGAACGUAGCGAAAUGCGAUAAGUAGUGUGAAUUGCAGAAUUCAGUGAAUCAUCGAAUCUUUGAACGCACAUUGCGCCCCUUGGUAUUCCGAGGGGCAUGCCUGUUCGAGCGUCAUUUCAACCCCUCAAGCUCAGCUUGGUGUUGGGCUGCGCCAGCGUGCUGGCGGGCCUUAAAAUCAGUGGCGGUGCCGCGUGGGCUCCAAGCGUAGUAGCAUCUCUCGCUCUGGGGACCCGGCGGUUGCCUGCCAGACAAUCACUAAAAAAACAAAAGGUUUGACCUCGGAUCAGGUAGGGAUACCCGCUGAACUUAAGCAUAUCAAUAAGCGGAGGA